CCACAGAAACUCCUUUUGACCCUCACCAUGGUCUGGGCCCUGUUUCUCCUCACACUUCUCAGUUACAAUUCAGGUGUCACUUCCUUGUCACCUUGGAAUCAGCCUGCCUCAGAAUCUGUGUCCCGAGGACAAACGGCGACACUGUCCUGCACUACCAACAGUGAAAGACAGCGCAUUUGUUGGUAUCAACAGAAGCCUGGACAGGUUCCCCGCUAUGUACAAUGUGAUGAAUACAGCAGGGGAGAGGGGAUCUCGGACCGAUUCACGGCUUCUGUCUCUGGCAGUAUGGGCUAUUUAACCAUCACCAAUAUCCAGCCUGAAGAUGAGGCAGAUUAUUACUGUGCCAAGUGGUAUGGCAGUGCUAACCAGUUCCACAGUGGUAAAAACUAA
Molecule: non-coding RNA, 390 nt
Organism: Eublepharis macularius
Lineage: Eukaryota; Metazoa; Chordata; Lepidosauria; Squamata; Eublepharidae
Source: the annotation of a RefSeq genome assembly